Long non-coding RNA from Ixodes scapularis (black-legged tick), 229 nucleotides. RefSeq lists it as uncharacterized. The transcript has 3 exons. The record is from RefSeq and is a predicted model, not a curated record. Lineage: Eukaryota; Metazoa; Arthropoda; Arachnida; Ixodida; Ixodidae.
AGAGUCGUGCAGCCACCUCCGACCAGGAGAAAUCGGCAGAAAAGCCUGAUGAAGGUGUGGUGCACACUGCUCUUAGUUUCCUCAGCAACGGCCGACGAGCCCCCACCACCACCUACGAGAAGAAGUGAGCGACCUCGCAAACUCUCGGUACCCUCUUACAAAGAGCCCAAUGUUAACAGGAAAAUGCGACGCCAGUGAUUGACAGGACAGCACCUUCCAGAGUCCAGAC